CCACAAUGAGGACAGCUAACGUCUCAUAUGAUGCCGUCAAUCAAAAUUAGGACACCAGCAUUGAAGGACCAUAAACGUCUCCCUGAGGCAUGGCGGGCGGAGCCCUACAUUGCUCCGCAGUCCACAUCCCAGACUACCCACUUGGAAAGGAGGAUGGCGCUGUGCUGCUUUUGGUAUUACUGCACCCCUCUAUCAGUGGUACAGAACAAGUAACUUGAAGGGGGAAUCCAAAGAGACAUUGCAGAACAUUAGAACAUUAGGACACUUGCAGGAGAGAGCAGUUGACCACCAGCACGUGCAGGCUCAGUGGAUGAUGUCAUCGAGUGAGGAGAACCCUUCUCUAUUUCUGCCUCAGCUCCGUGUUUGGUAACACGAGGGAAGCCAGAACACAGAGCUGUCAUAUAUAGUGCUUUGGGUUUAGACCCUCUUUCCAACCUGUUUUUGUUUAUGAUUUCACACGUUAACUGCCAGCAACCACACCACCAGUAUCCUGUCAGGAUGCAUGGCUGCUUAGAUGGACUGAAAGAAUAUACGAAAAAACUUAAAUCGUUCAGCUAGUCAAGCAGUAAAUCAAUAAAUCAACCAAUCAGUUACAUAUUACGUGACAUAGUAUUGU
Anguilla anguilla (European eel) is the source of this 616-nucleotide long non-coding RNA. RefSeq lists it as uncharacterized. The transcript is spliced from 3 exons. The record is from RefSeq and is a predicted model, not a curated record. NCBI's taxonomy places the organism in Eukaryota, Metazoa, Chordata, Actinopteri, Anguilliformes, Anguillidae.